CCUACGGGAGGCAGCAGUGGGGAAUAUUGCACAAUGGGGGAAACCCUGAUGCAGCGACGCCGCGUGGGUGAGGAAGUAUUUCGGUAUGUAAAGCUCUAUCAGCAGGGAAGAUAAUGACGGUACCUGGCUAAGAAGCACCGGCUAAAUACGUGCCAGCAGCCGCGGUAAU
This 169-nucleotide ribosomal RNA is filed under the name uncultured rumen bacterium. RNAcentral's name for it is "partial 16S ribosomal RNA". It matches the Rfam family "Bacterial small subunit ribosomal RNA", at positions 338 to 524 of the family's 1533-position model. The record is from RNAcentral.